CCUCCUUAUACGAUUUAGAACUUAUUUGUUCGUAGUGUCCACACAGAUGAUUGUUAGUUAGCUAAGCCACUGGCUUACCUAAUUAAUAUGCUCUUUAAAAAUUUGGAAAAGCUGAUAAUAAAAUUCGUAUAGAUAACAGUUGUUAUUUAUACAGAGUUUUCAAAAGUAAAAAAAUGCCAUUGAUUAUUCAAACGAAUAAUGAAUUGGUAUCUACUUUAGUAUUCAAUAUUAACUUCUGGCGAAGUUAAACUGUCACUAACAAAGACCCGUUUGGGUUGUAUGGUUAAGUGACUAAGCGUACACGGUGG
RNAcentral lists this unclassified non-coding RNA (308 nucleotides) under uncultured Pseudoalteromonas sp. RNAcentral describes it as "partial 16S-23S ribosomal RNA intergenic spacer". The record is from RNAcentral. Lineage: Bacteria; Pseudomonadati; Pseudomonadota; Gammaproteobacteria; Alteromonadales; Pseudoalteromonadaceae.